Molecule: ribosomal RNA, 484 nt
Filed under: uncultured bacterium
Lineage: Bacteria
Description: partial 16S ribosomal RNA
Rfam family: Bacterial small subunit ribosomal RNA
Source: RNAcentral
AUUGAACGCUGGCGGCAGGCCUAACACAUGCAAGUCGAGCGGAUGAAGGGAGCUUGCUCCUGGAUUCAGCGGCGGACGGGUGAGUAAUGCCUAGGAAUCUGCCUGGUAGUGGGGGAUAACGUCCGGAAACGGGCGCUAAUACCGCAUACGUCCUGAGGGAGAAAGUGGGGGAUCUUCGGACCUCACGCUAUCAGAUGAGCCUAGGUCGGAUUAGCUAGUUGGUGGGGUAAAGGCCUACCAAGGCGACGAUCCGUAACUGGUCUGAGAGGAUGAUCAGUCACACUGGAACUGAGACACGGUCCAGGCUCCUACGGGAGGCAGCAGUGGGGAAUAUUGGACAAUGGGCGAAAGCCUGAUCCAGCCAUGCCGCGUGGGUGAAGAAGGUCUUCGGAUUGUAAAGCACUUUAAGUUGGGAGGAAGGGCAGUAAGUUAAUACCUUGCUGUUUUGACGUUACCAACAGAAUAAGCACCGGCUAACUUCGUG